This 1062-nucleotide ribosomal RNA is filed under the name Pachyella clypeata. RNAcentral's name for it is "eukaryotic LSU rRNA". The stretch from base 175 to 1062 matches the Rfam family "Eukaryotic large subunit ribosomal RNA", at positions 1 to 907 of the family's 3401-position model. Lineage: Eukaryota; Fungi; Ascomycota; Pezizomycetes; Pezizales; Pezizaceae. The record is from RNAcentral.
GUUUGAGUGUCAGUAUAUCUAUCAAGUUAUUUUAACUUGGACAAUUGAGAGAUGUGAAUAACUUAUUUACACUUUUUAAAUUUAUUGGAAGGCUUCAUUACGAACCAAAUGUAAUAAUAUUUCAUUUAGUGAAUUUUGAAUGCUUGUCUAUAUACUAUACAAUUACUUUUAAAGUGACCUCAAAUCAGGUAGGGAUACCCGCUGAACUUAAGCAUAUCAAUAAGCGGAGGAAAAGAAACCAACAGGGAUUGCCCUAGUAACGGCGAGUGAAGCGGCAAAAGCUCAGAUUUGAAAUCUGGUGUUGAUCAAACAUCCGAGUUGUAAUCUGUAGAGAGGUACUUCCAAUGUAAGAAUUGGCCUAAGUUUCUUGGAACAGGACGUCAUAGAGGGUGAGAACCCCGUCUUUGGUCUUUUCUUUCAUUGAUAUAAGUCUUCUUCAAUGAGUCGAGUUGUUUGGGAAUGCAGCUCUAAAUGGGUGGUAAAUUCCAUCUAAAGCUAAAUAUUGGCAAGAGACCGAUAGCGCACAAGUAGAGUAAUCGAAAGAUGAAAAGAACUCUGGACAGAGAGUCAAAUAGUACGUGAAAUUGUUGAAAGGGAAGCACUUGCUACCAGACGCAUGGGCAGUUAAUCAGCCUACAUUUAUGUAGGUGCACUUGACUGUUCGUGGGUCAGCAUCAGUUUGGUCAAUGAGAAAAAUACUUGAGGAAUGUGGCUUCCUUCGGGAAGUGUUAUAGCCUCUUGUAAGUAUCAGCGAUUAGACUGAGGACCGCACAAUGUGAGGAUGCUGGCAUAAUGGUUGUAAGUGACCCGUCUUGAAACACGGACCAAGGAGUCUAACAUCUAUGCGAGUGUUUGGGUUAAAAAACCCUCAUGCGAAAUGAAAGUGAAUGCAGAUGGUAGGCGUGAGCUGCCCCAUCGACCGAUCCUGAUGUUCUCGGAUGGAUUUGAGUAUGAGCAUAGAUGUUGGGACCCGAAAGAUGGUGAACUAUGCCUGAAUAGGGUGAAGCCAGAGGAAACUCUGGUGGAGGCUCGCAGCGGUUCUGACGUGCAAAUCGAUCGUCA